CAGUAGCCGCGGGAAAACGAAGGGGGCUAGCGUUGUUCGGAUUUACUGGGCGUAAAGCGCACGUAGGCGGACUUUUAAGUCAGGGGUGAAAUCCCGGGGCUCAACCCCGGAACUGCCUUUGAUACUGGGAGUCUUGAGUUCGAGAGAGGUGAGUGGAAUUGCGAGUGUAGAGGUGAAAUUCGUAGAUAUUCGCAGGAACACCAGUGGCGAAGGCGGCUCACUGGCUCGAUACCGACGCUGAGGUGCGAAAGCGUGGGGAGCAAACAGGAUUAGAUACCCCAGUAGUCCCUGUCUCUUAUAA
This 301-nucleotide ribosomal RNA is filed under the name uncultured bacterium. Its description in RNAcentral is "partial 16S ribosomal RNA". It matches the Rfam family "Bacterial small subunit ribosomal RNA", at positions 509 to 809 of the family's 1533-position model. The record is from RNAcentral.